Molecule: transfer RNA, 52 nt
Filed under: Orobanche coelestis
Lineage: Eukaryota; Viridiplantae; Streptophyta; Magnoliopsida; Lamiales; Orobanchaceae
Also listed under: 4 other names
Description: Phelipanche coelestis partial tRNA-Phe
Source: RNAcentral
GUCGGGAUAGCUGCAGGCAGAUAGAGCAGAGGACUGAAAAUCCUCGUGUCAC